GGACCAUAGCUCAAUGGUAGAGCAUCUGCUUUGCAUGCAGAAAGUCUUAGGUUCAAUCCUUGGCAUCUCCA
This is a non-coding RNA of Podarcis lilfordi (Lilford's wall lizard), 71 nucleotides long. The record is from the annotation of a GenBank genome assembly. NCBI's taxonomy places the organism in Eukaryota, Metazoa, Chordata, Lepidosauria, Squamata, Lacertidae.